CCUACGGGAGGCAGCAGUGAGGAAUAUUGGUCAAUGGACGUAAGUCUGAACCAGCCAUGUCGCGUGCAGGAUGACGGCCCUAUGAGUUGUAAACUGCUUUUGUACGAGGGUAAACCCCGAUACGUGUAUCGGGUUGCAAGUAUCGUACGAAUAAGGAUCGGCUAACUCCGUGCCAGCAGCCGCGGUAAUACGGAGGAUCCGGGCGUUAUCCGGAUUUAUUGGGUUUAAAGGGUGCGUAGGCGGGUUGAUAAGUUAGAGGUGAAAUGUCGGGGCUCAACCCUGAAACUGCCUCUCAUACUGUCGGACUAGAGAGUAGGGGAGGUAGGCGGAAUGCAUGGUGUAGCGGUGAAAUGCUUAGAUAUUAGGAGGAACAUCAGUGGCGAAGGCGGCUUUCUGGACUGUAACUGACGCUGAGGCACGAAAGUGUGGGGAGCGAACAGGAUUAGAUACCCUGGUAGUC
Molecule: ribosomal RNA, 460 nt
Filed under: uncultured bacterium
Lineage: Bacteria
Description: partial 16S ribosomal RNA
Rfam family: Bacterial small subunit ribosomal RNA
Source: RNAcentral